UGGGGAAUAUUGGACAAUGGGCGCAAGCCUGAUCCAGCCAUGCCGCGUGAGUGAUGAAGGCCCUAGGGUUGUAAAGCUCUUUUACCCGCGAAGAUAAUGACGGUAGCGGGAGAAUAAGCUCCGGCUAACUCCGUGCCAGCAGCCGCGGUAAUACGGAGGGAGCUAGCGUUGUUCGGAAUUACUGGGCGUAAAGCGCGCGUAGGCGGCUAUUCAAGUCAGGGGUGAAAUCCCGGAGCUCAACUCCGGAACUGCCCUUGAAACUGGAUAGCUAGAAUCCUGGAGAGGUGAGUGGAAUUCCGAGUGUAGAGGUGAAAUUCGUAGAUAUUCGGAAGAACACCAGUGGCGAAGGCGACUCACUGGACAGGUAUUGACGCUGAGGUGCGAAAGCGUGGGGAGCAAACAGGAUUAGAUACCCCCGUAGUCC
This 424-nucleotide ribosomal RNA is filed under the name uncultured prokaryote. RNAcentral describes it as "bacterial SSU rRNA". It matches the Rfam family "Bacterial small subunit ribosomal RNA", at positions 355 to 796 of the family's 1533-position model. The record is from RNAcentral.